Molecule: ribosomal RNA, 352 nt
Filed under: uncultured bacterium
Lineage: Bacteria
Description: bacterial SSU rRNA
Rfam family: Bacterial small subunit ribosomal RNA
Source: RNAcentral
CAGAGUUUGAUCCUGCUCAGGAUGAACGCUAGCUACAGGCUUAACACAUGCAAGUCGAGGGGAAACGACAUCGAAAGCUUGCUUUGAUGGGCGUCGACCGGCGCACGGGUGAGUAACGCGUAUCCAACCUGCCCACCACUUGGGGAUAACCUUGCGAAAGUAAGACUAAUACCCAAUGACGUCUCUAGAAGACAUCUGAAAGAGAUUAAAGAUUUAUCGGUGAUGGAUGGGGAUGCGUCUGAUUAGCUUGUUGGCGGGGUAACGGCCACCAAGGCGACGAUCAGUAGGGGUUCUGAGAGGAAGGUCCCCCANAUUGGAACCUGAGACACGGUCCAAACUCCUACGGGAGGCA